RNAcentral lists this transfer RNA (84 nucleotides) under Gemmatimonadales bacterium. Its description in RNAcentral is "tRNA-Leu". It matches the Rfam family "tRNA". Rfam says of the family: Transfer RNA (tRNA) molecules are approximately 80 nucleotides in length. The record is from RNAcentral. Lineage: Bacteria; Pseudomonadati; Gemmatimonadota; Gemmatimonadia; Gemmatimonadales. RNAcentral also lists the same sequence under 1 other name.
GCCGGGGUGGCGAAACUGGUAGACGCGAACGACUCAAAAUCGUUUGCCGGCAACGGCUUGCGGGUUCGAAUCCCGCCCUCGGCA